This is a long non-coding RNA of Eriocheir sinensis (Chinese mitten crab), 1349 nucleotides long. RefSeq lists it as uncharacterized. The transcript has 3 exons. The record is from RefSeq and is a predicted model, not a curated record. NCBI's taxonomy places the organism in Eukaryota, Metazoa, Arthropoda, Malacostraca, Decapoda, Varunidae.
UCCCGGCAGGGCGCCUCGGCGUCCAUCGGGACCCCGACGGAGGUGCCGGGGAUCUUUCGGCUACAACGCCGGGCAGGUGGGGCUCGUUAGCCGUGGUAGGCAAUCUGCCUAGGAGAGCAAACUCCGAACAACAAACCCGGGCAGGUGAGGUUCGUUAGCCGUGGUAGGCAAUUCACCUAGGAGAGCAAACUCCGAACAAUAAACCCGGGCAGGUUGGGCUCGUGAACCGUCAUAGGUAAUACACCUAGGAGAGCAAACUCCGAACAAUAAACCCGGGCAGGUGGAGCUCGUCAGCCGUGGUAGGCAGUCUGCCUAGGAGAGCAAACUCCGAACAAUAAACCCGGGCAGGUGGAGCUCGUCAGCCGUGGUAGGCAGUCUGCCUAGGAGAGCAAACUCCGAACAAUAAACCGGGGCUUGUGGUGCUCGUUAGAUGUCGUAGACAAUCCACGUGAUGGGAACACCAAAGAAAAGGAAAAUAAAAAGGAACACCAGAAAAAGGAAAAUAUAGAAAUAAAACAUCAAGAAAAUAAAAUAAAAAACACAGAUCAUCCACCUUCAGGCCCUAACAUCUCCAAAAUUAUGGGUGAGUCUUUUCUGGGGAGAAAGAGGCUCAUCCAGACCAAAGAACAUCAAAAAGGGAUGAUAUAGAAAGGAACACCAAAAAAAUGGGAAAAAGAGAAAAAACAUCGCAAAAGAAAAGCAACAACAAUAACAGAACAACGUCAAGAAAAGUAACAUACAAAGAAACAUCAUCCACCAUUCGGCCCCAAACUAACAUCACCAAAAUUAUGGGUGGGUCUUUUCUGGGGAGAAAGAGGCUCAUCCAGACCAAAGAACAUCAAAGAGGGAUGAUAUAGAAAAGAACACCAAAAAAUAGGGGAAAAAAAAAGCAAAAAAACAUCGCAAAAGAAAAGUAACAGCAAUAACAGAACAACAUCAAGAAAAGUAACAUACAAAGAAACAUCAUCCACCAUUCGGCCCCAAACUAACAUCACCAAAAUUAUGGGUGGGUCUCUUCUGGGAGGAAAGCGGCUCACCCAGACCAACGAAGAACAUCAACAAGAGGAUGAUAUGAAAUAAAAGAACAUUAAAAAUCACGGAGAAAAAAAGAAGAAGAAAAAGAACAGAAAAAAACAUCGGAAAAGAAAAACAAGAAGAAAAACACACCAAGAGAAGAAAAAUAUAAGAAACAUCAUCCACCUUUCGGCCCCUAACUAACAUCACCAAAAUUAUGGGUGGGUCUCUUCUGGGAGGAAAGCGGCUCACCCAGACCAAUGAACAUCAACAAGAGGAUGAUAUGAAAUAAAAGAACAUCAAAAAAGAAAAACAACAGCAAGAAAACAAAGAAA